RNAcentral lists this non-coding RNA (27 nucleotides) under Cricetulus griseus (Chinese hamster). Lineage: Eukaryota; Metazoa; Chordata; Mammalia; Rodentia; Cricetidae. The record is from RNAcentral.
GGGGCUGGAGGGAUGGCUCAGAGGUUA